This 1275-nucleotide long non-coding RNA is filed under the name Equus asinus (donkey). Its description in RNAcentral is "lncRNA (ENSEASG00005034741.1)". Lineage: Eukaryota; Metazoa; Chordata; Mammalia; Perissodactyla; Equidae. The record is from RNAcentral.
UUUGACAUAUGUCUGACUUGACCACGUUGGGCAUUAUUUUGGUCCUAAGACAGCCCUGUGAGGUAGGUAGGCAAAGAUUAUUGUUGCUACUUUACAGGUAUGGAAACUGAGGGUCAGGAGGGUAAGUGACUUACACAAGGUCGCCAAGCUAAUGUGUGUCAAGGUGGUUCGCGGAGGUGAGGAAUGGAAGGGGGAUUUGUAAAGGGUCUCCUGAUUUUCAAGUGAAGGCUUUCUAGGGGGGUGCUCUUACUAUUUGGAGAAAUGACAUGUUAAUAAGAGAUAUCUGUGGGCAAAUACAUUUGAAAUAAGAAUAUGAUUCAUUUGCAAUCUUUCAAAAGAGGUUGUCAAAAUAAAUUCCAAGUCAACAUAUUUAAAAAUAUAUUUAUUGAGGUUUUCUAUGUGCCCGGUACUGGACCUGGUGAUCAUGCAUUUUCAGCAGACUUGCUGAAUGAACGCUACCCAGGAGCGACGCAAUGCCAUCACACAUCCUUCUUGGGAGCAACUCGAAAGCCUGCCUUUCGAGUUUACUUCUGUUACUCUCUCAGCUCAAGGCCUGAGUCAUUUCACUAAAUGAGUGUUCUGCCUUGGCCCUCUCCCAGUCAACAGCUGCAAGGUACCAGAUUGGCACGAAGCAGUUAGGCUUGUUUUUGUUCUUUGAGUCCUUGAUACUCAAAGGGCGCGAGGGAUCCCGUGAGAGUGAGUCCUUUGCAGUGGAGAGUGAAGAGAGCCCGACUGCUCAUUUGGAAGCUAAUUAACUGACAAGUCUUGGAGGAUGAACACUUUACCCAGGCUGGAGGACAUGGGGACCCCAGGAGUCCAGGAGGAUAUUUCAUCUGAACCAAGUCCGGGGGAGGACAUUCUGGAGAGGGAAGACAUGAAGGCAAGAAGAGCAUGUCAUCUUCUGGGUGCAAGUAAUUCCACGUGCUCCUUUAGAAGCAGAGUGACGGGAGCAGAAAGGGGCAGGAGUUGGAUGGACCAGGCAACACACAUGAAGAUUUCACAUCGAGUGUUAUUCACAACAAAUGACAUUAAGGUCAUACAAGAGAAAACAGUCAGCCUUCUCGGUUUUAGCUGGAGACAGAGUUUGUCUGCAAAUCCACAAUGACACAAUGGAAUCACCAGUAGAAGAGACAUCUCAGCUGGCUUGGCUGACUGGAAGUUACUCAGAAGGGAUUUGCUGGUUGGAGAGUCAGCCACAGCUGUAUCAUCUUGAUAUCAGUCAAAUGAAUGGCACUGUGGUUAUUGCUUCCAAUAACUAUUACCUCUUCACUAACA